This is a long non-coding RNA of Panicum virgatum (switchgrass), 837 nucleotides long. RefSeq lists it as uncharacterized. The record is from RefSeq and is a predicted model, not a curated record. Lineage: Eukaryota; Viridiplantae; Streptophyta; Magnoliopsida; Poales; Poaceae. The transcript is spliced from 5 exons.
AUCAGGCGCCCGUUCUGCGGGGACUGCACCAAGCUCUAGCGGGGUUGAUGCAUGUAAACUGCAUAGUGGGAAUCUGACUGUUGGAAGUGUUGAAGAGAAAGGUGUGGCAGACCAAAUCCCAGUUUAUGAUGCAACACCAGGCACAAGUGGCUCUUCCCGACGGACGCCAGCAACAUGCUGUCCAGAUGUAAUUCCUGGAGUAAGGGAUGCCGUCCAACUUGGAGGAACAUUGACAAAAGGAACAAGACUUAAGAAAGGUGCAAGCAAAACAAGUAUGAACAAGAGGAAAAAUAUCUCAGAUUCUAUUACUGGGAGCAAGAGGAGAGUAAUAUCCAAGAAAAUAGUACAUAAGAUACGCAUUGACUCAAGUGAGAACUCUAAACACUGUGAUUCAGUCGAGGAGAACUUGCAGUCUAUUAUCCCUCUACAUACUGAGGCAGUGACGCCAAUCAAAAGGAACGUUUACCAACGGCAAAUCCCUCCUUCUCCUUUUGAUCUUAACUUGACACAAAGGACCAUUAGCAUUUCUCUGAUUGAAAAAAGAUACGAGUACUUUCAGGAAGAUGUUUCUGAGGACCUAAGCAGAACUUGGUUUCACCAUGAAGAUCCUUGGGCAGUCAGACUCACAGGGGUGGAGCUAAAGAGUGCAUUUGUAAAACCUGGGAAUAUAAGCACAAAUAUAUUUGAUGCAAUUAUUAGACUACUUCAAGAAGAAGACACAACCAUGUAUAAGCUCCGCGGGUGUGAUCAACAACAAUGGCGGCACCUGUUGCCUCCAAGUUUCUCUGUGUGUGUACCCGCACAACAAUUACAACAUCAUUAAUGUACCAGGCAAUA